AUACCCAUUUCAAUAUUACCUUGACUUACCACUGUGGGCAGUGAGGGAAGAUGACUCUGAUGAGACUGGCCAGGAUGGACCUUCCCUUUUCAGCAGUACAGUAGUACCUCGGGUUACAGACGCUUCAGGUUAUAGACUCCGCUAACCCAGAAAUAUUACCUCGUGUUAGGAACUUUGCUUCAGGAUGAGAACAGAAAUCGUGCUCCGGCAGCGCGGUGGCAGCAGGAGGCCCCAUUAGCCAAAGUGGUGCUUCAGGUUAAGAACAAUUUAAGGUUAAGAACGGACCUCCAGAACGAAUUAAGUUCUUAACCCGAGGUACCACUGUAAUAAUAAUAAUAUUUCUUACCUGUCCUUCACCAUCAGGUCUCAGGGCAGGUUACAAUGUAAAUCUAUUGAAACUAGUUUUUAAAGAUGGAAUUAGAGCAGGUCCUGAAAAAUAUCUCUGGUGUCAAAAGGCCAGGAUAAAGAGCUGUGUCAUAAUGAAAUCUGCCAAAUGCAGCUCUCUGGGGAGGGAUUCCACAGCCUAAAAAGACUGCUGUCUUCUGGGCCACCAUCCAGUCCACAACUUCUGAGCAUGACGACCCUCUGCUGACCUUAAGACCUGAGAGGCUUUGUAGGGAAGGAGACAGUCUUUCUGAUAUUUGUGGCCUGAUUCAUGAAGUGCUGGAAGAAUCUGCAACAAUUCUUGCCCAGAGGACCCAUGCAGUUAGGCAGCUUCCUUGGCCUGAUGCACCUCAGUGACGUGGCCACUUUAGGUACCGCUACUGUUUUGAUUUUCAGCUGAUUCUGGAAAAUCUUUGUCUCUUUCCAAUCCAGUGCAGUCUUUAUUUCUUUUUCUGCUGAAGUGUGGGCUUGUUUCCAUAUGGUGCUGCAUCUUGGCUAACAACAGCCAUCCCAUCCACAGAAGCAAACCCUUCCUUUUGUAAGAGUGGGUGGAGUGGUGGUCAGCUUAUGGUAUCAGUCACCACCAAGAAGGUCCUAUCCUGCAUCCCCACCAAGUGCGUCUGUGAGGGUGGUGGGACCGAGUAUAGGGCCUGCCCCGAAGAUCUCAGAACCUAGGCAGGUUUGUAUGGACUUUCAGAUAGUCUGGACUUCAAGCUGUAUGGUGCUCUAUAGGUCAUAACCAGCACUUUGAAUUAUACGUGGAAACAGACCAGGAGGCAGUGGAGCUGUUCUAUUAUUGUUAUUAUUUUACUGAUUAAAUUUGUAUACUGCCCCUGAUCUGAAGAUCACAGUUCACAGCAUUAAAAUACAGAUG
Podarcis lilfordi (Lilford's wall lizard) is the source of this 1258-nucleotide non-coding RNA. The record is from the annotation of a GenBank genome assembly. NCBI's taxonomy places the organism in Eukaryota, Metazoa, Chordata, Lepidosauria, Squamata, Lacertidae.